UACGAAGGGGGCUAGCGUUGCUCGGAAUCACUGGGCGUAAAGCGCACGUAGGCGGAUUUUUAAGUCAGGGGUGAAAUCCUGGAGCUCAACUCCAGAACUGCCUUUGAUACUGGGAAUCUAGAGUCCGGAAGAGGUGAGUGGAACUCCGAGUGUAGAGGUGAAAUUCGUAGAUAUUCGGAAGAACACCAGUGGCGAAGGCGGCUCACUGGUCCGGUACUGACGCUGAGGUGCGAAAGCGUGGGGAGCAAACAGG
Molecule: ribosomal RNA, 253 nt
Filed under: uncultured bacterium
Lineage: Bacteria
Description: partial 16S ribosomal RNA
Rfam family: Bacterial small subunit ribosomal RNA
Source: RNAcentral